AACGCGAAGAACCUUACCUGGGUUUGACAUGCACAGGACGCCGGUAGAGAUAUCGGUUCCCUUGUGGCCUGUGUGUAGGUGGUGCAUGGCUGUCGUCAGCUCGUGUCGUGAGAUGUUGGGUUAAGUCCCGCAACGAGCGCAACCCUUGUCCUGUAUUGCCAGCGGGUUAUGCCGGGGACUUGCAGGAGACUGCCGGGGUCAACUCGGAGGAAGGUGGGGAUGACGUCAAGUCAUCAUGCCCCUUAUGUCCAGGGCUUCACACAUGCUACAAUGGCCGGUACAGAGGGCUGCGAUACCGUGAGGUGGAGCGAAUCCCUUAAAGCCGGUCUCAGUUCGGAUCGGGGUCUGCAACUCGACCCCGUGAAGUCGGAGUCGCUAGUAAUCGCAGAUCAGCACG
RNAcentral lists this ribosomal RNA (397 nucleotides) under uncultured Williamsia sp. RNAcentral's name for it is "bacterial SSU rRNA". It matches the Rfam family "Bacterial small subunit ribosomal RNA", at positions 958 to 1356 of the family's 1533-position model. Lineage: Bacteria; Bacillati; Actinomycetota; Actinomycetes; Mycobacteriales; Nocardiaceae. The record is from RNAcentral.